Molecule: long non-coding RNA, 1154 nt
Filed under: Dermacentor andersoni
Lineage: Eukaryota; Metazoa; Arthropoda; Arachnida; Ixodida; Ixodidae
Description: uncharacterized LOC126539754
Source: RNAcentral
CGCAUCACAAAAGCAGUUUGUCGUUGUUAACGGUGCUCAAUCUCAGAUCACGAGUGUCACGUCCGGUGUACCUCAAGGAUCUGUCUAGGGUCCACUGUUAUUUUUAUUAUACAUAAAUGAUAUAACCGAUGGUAUCCAGUCUCAGAUGCGUUUAUUCGCCGAUGAUUGUGUGGUAUACAGGGAAGUAAAAUGCGUUGAUGAUGUGGCUGUUCUCCAACAAGAUCUAGACAAAAUCAACGAGUGGUGUGUAAAGUGGCAUAUGAAGUUAAAUGAAAAAAAAAAAAAAAACUGAACAUGACAUUUACCAGAAAAAAGUAUCCACACAUGAGCAGUUAUAAUCUGAACAGCAUACCUUUAAAACAAGUAUCAGAUUACAAAUACCUGGGUGUUUAUUUUACAUCUUCGCUAGGUGGCAGAGACACAUUGAUUAUGUUGCUGCCAAAGCUGGGAAAGUGUUGGGCUUUUUGCGUCGGAAUGCCAGAACUUUUCCUGUACCUAUUAAAGAAUUAUUGUACAAAACCAAUGAUAAACCCCUUCUUGAAUAUGCCUGCACAAUCUGGAACCCUACAGCAAAGCGAGACAAUGAUAAAUUGGAAAGGAUUCAAAAUUUGGCUGCCCAGUUUGUGUCAGGCAAUUACCGCAGGACUAUUGGGGCGGAAAGUAUAAAAGAAACACUGAAUUGGGAGCAUUUAGAUAAUCGUUGACAUAAGUUGCGAUUUAAAAUCUUUCAUGCUGUUUACCAUGGUCGUGUCGGGAUUGAAAAUACAAAAUAUUUGCUUGCACCUCCCUAUGUCUCAGACAGAGUUGAUCACAUGUUCAAGGUACGGGAAAUCACAUGCAAGACUGAUUUACUUCGAUUGUCUUUCUUUCCUAGAACAAUCCGCAAAUGGAACCAACUGCCGUCAAACAUUGCCUCUGUUAUGUCUAAUGAUGUUUUCUUUUCUAUGUUAGCAUAACCGCGUUUAAGUUUGUGCCAAUGACAUCUGUAUUUUAUGACUGAUUGUGAUUAGUGGUUAUUUUUAUUAGUUGUGUGACUGAUACUGUAUGUAUUUCUUUAUCUUUUUUGUGUAUAUCCUCCCCCACAGUAAUGCCUGUUAAGGCACUGUGGGUAAUAAGGUAAAAAAAAAAUUAAGAUACCCGUAAUUCAGGAGAAA